Non-coding RNA from Ameiurus melas (black bullhead), 73 nucleotides. The record is from the annotation of a GenBank genome assembly. Lineage: Eukaryota; Metazoa; Chordata; Actinopteri; Siluriformes; Ictaluridae.
GGCAUGGUGGAUUAGUGGUUAGCACGUUGGCCUCCCACCUUCAGAAUUGGGGGUUCGAUUCCCAUCUCCGCCC